UUCACGUGGCUUCUCAAACACGCUCUCAUAAUACAUCCUCUCUCUUCAAUCAAUCCUUAAACCCUAAUUUCAAUUUCAUACAUCUCUGCCUGUUCCAUCACUGUAUCUCUCUCUGUUCCAUUACAACCUAGAUCUCAGUCUAAAGCAACCAGCAAAAGGGUUUUUGCUUUCAAUCCAUUCGUCUUUGGCUUUUUGUUUCAACGAUUUGGCGAUUCUUCUUUUGAUCAACACCAUGUAAGGGUUUUUAUUGUGAAGAGGUUUUGUUGAUGAGAAUGUUAGAUAGUCAAAGCCAUGGGAUUUCAAUCCUUUCUGAUCAAUGGUGAUUUUCAGAAAAUCCUAAAUCUCAAAUCUGGAUAUGAUUGAGAAUGUGUUGGAAAUAAAAGACACCCAUGUGAAGGAGGUUAUGACGCCACUUGUGGAUGUAGUUGCAGUUGAUUCGACUACAACGUUAGUUGAUUUCCACCACUUAUGGGUAACUCAUCAAUAUUCUAGGGUGCCAGUGUUUGAGCAGCGAGUUGAUAACAUCGUGGGUGUAGCUUACGUAAUGGAUUUGUUAGAACUUAUUAAGAAAGGAGAUAUGCUUGAAACUGCAGUUGUGGGAGAUAUGGCUCACAAGCCUGCAUAUUUCGUUCCUGAUUCAAUGUUAAUCUGGAAUCUUCUGGGGAAUUCCGUAUUAGGAAAGUUCACAUGGUUGUUGUUCUUAAUGAAUACGGAGGAACCGUCGGUAUUGUAACCCUUGAAAAUGUUGUUGAGGAAAUUGUUGAUGAGAAUGACUCAAAGCUUUUUGGACACCUAUAACACUUGAAGGGGAGAUUCUGAAAAUCAAUUGACAAGGAGAUUACCGAUUAGAUUCAUGAAGCACGACUCUGCUUUGAACCCUAAAUUGAUCAAUUUCUCACACUCUAAUCCCUUCUCGGACAUUGACGUUGUUAAGAUUUAGGAUAUGUUGUCGGGUAUAAGUGUUCAUGCAUCGUGCAUUGGUGCUUCCCAUCAACAGAAGAUGUUGCAGAUUUCAAGUCACAGUUUGAUAAGAUUAAAGAGGCUACAGGAAGGGUGAUAAUAAUGACAGCACAUGCACCUAAUGGGUCAAGGUUUGACACUUUGACUUUCAUUUCCACGUUUUUGACCCUAAUAUUGGAGUUGAUGAGGUAAUUAUAUUGGAAUAAUGUUUCCAAACCAAUGUGGUAAACAUUUAGAUCAGGCCCGGUUAUUGGGCUGGACAGGCCUGGCGAAUGCCAAGGCCCAAAAUUGAAAGGGGCCCAAAAUUUGAAAUGUUGUAUACAUAUAUUUUAUUGAUGAUUGGGGCUUGGGUCAUUGGGGUUGGAGUGCAAUGGGGCGGGCUAAAAGAGGUGGGAUAUCUAGAGGCUCUUCACUUUCUUUGAUUAUCUGUUUUUAAGUGAAAAAUGGUCCAAACGUCUACGGUUAAACCUUUUUUUAAAAUCAAAGGACAAAACUAAAUAAGAUCUUUAACUUCAUAAAAUACUUAAUAUAUUAAAAAGGAGCGCCUAUUUUAAUAUUUUCUAACAUAAAAUAAUCUAUCCCACAAUAUUCAAUAGUUUGUUAACUUAAUAGUUUAAUAGAUUUUGAUUAUUAAAUAUUCAAACAAAGUAAUUUUAUCUUAUCAAUAUUCUUCGGUUAAUAUUUGAAAACAAACAAGUAUUAGUGGAGCUAGACUUUAUAUGAAACGAUAACAAUGUCAUCAUAAAGCUUGAAAAUGCGGCCAUCGAAUAAUCAAAGUCAGUUGACUUUGCUGUUUUUGGAAAGUACAUUAUAUUGGAGAAAAGAGAAUGAUAAUGAGAACAUUGACACAUCUAUAUGAUUGGUCCGGGAUCAAAUGAUUAUGGCUAGGGUUUAAAUAUGAGCAUUGCAACAAUGAAUAACAAACAAGACACAAUUAGCAUACGAACUGCAAAGUCAACUUAAAGAAAGUCAACGUGCUUUGGGAGAGGCUACUGCAGUUGCUCGUCUUAAUCACAGGUUAGUAGGUGCCUAUAAUUGCAAGGAUGAACUUUAGUUAUCUUAAUCAUAUUAGAUUAUUUAUGUUCUGAUCAUCACUGUGUAUAGAAUUUGAUUAUAGACCUAUUCUAGAGGCAGCUUUGUCUUCGUAUACUGGUUGCACCGAUUGCAAGGUGGACGUGGCGUAAUUUUGCUUAUUGUGUUUACACCUGUGAUAUCAUUAUUUCAUCUUUGGUUCUAUUUUUUUAGGUGCCUCAUGGAUUUUUUUAGUGCUUACGAUAAUACAAUUAUGCUUUCGGGAAUAAUUGGUGAGUUAGUAGAACACAAGCGGAAUAUGAAAAUUUCAAAAUUAUGGUGACUGGGCAUUCAAUGGGCGGGGCUAUGGCAGCUUUUUGUGGGUUGGAUCUUGCGGUAACUAAGAUCAUUCCAUCUCCUCACUUUACUUUACUAUACUUGCUUUGCUUUUUGCUGUGUAGAAUUAUGGUUUGCUACAUUACAGUUAAUAAGUCAACAAGAUAAGUGUUACUUCAUUAUAGUUUAUUAAUGUUUUAGUUUUUACAUCCAUAUUUAGUGAUGCUUGGAUAUGCAUAUUGAAACUAAUGCAAUAGAAUAAAAUUUGUUGGAUGAGACUAUUUGUAGACUACUGUUCAAAAUAGGGUUACAAGAGUUUUGUAUUUAUAGACUACAAAACCAAUUAACCAAGAAACUAAAUAAAUCAAAUUAGGGUAACAAGAGUUUUGUAUUUAUAGAAUAAAAAUAUUUGUAGACUACUGUUCAAAAUAGGGUUACAAGAGUUUUGUAUUUAUAGACUACAAAACCAAUUAACCAAGAAUCUAAAUAAAUCAAAUUAGGGUAACAAACAAUCAAGGUUUCUAAUAUAAUGAUACUAUCGGUGGCAGUAUUGACCCAUUCUAAGAACUGGUUGAUUUGGGCAAAAAAUAAGUUAUAUAUGGUCAUAUGGGUCAAACUGAGUUACCUCAAAUUAGUAAACGAUUCAAUUUGUAUCAUUUCAAAUUAGUUAAUAGGGUGCCUCAAAUUAGUCAAUGGGUCAAAACAAACAAGUGUUAUAAAUUUAAAGAUGAUGCAAAUUCGUCGCCACCACUACUUCGCUCACCACCAUCACAAAUUACAUGAGAGUUUUUUGCAGAUUCUAGAGAAGGUCUAGAGUUUAAACCCUUACAGAUCCCCAAAAGUACCUGAUGCCAGUUUAAUUUCAAUUUGAAUAGUAAAGAAAUAUUGUUUAUUUGUUUUUAUAGAAAGAUUAAUUUGGAAUACUUAAGGUUUUGUUAGAUAAAGUGACUAAUCAGUACUUAUUUAUAUAUUGUUGAAGUUUGUGAAGUUUAGAAUAUGAUGGUGGCUUAAAAGUGUUAGGGAAUAAUGCUGCUACAAGUGAUGGUUUCAGCAAUGGCACAUUCUUCAGGGUUGUUCUAUUAGUUCAUAGGGAAAAGGUACUACGUGUAAUAUGGAUUUGUCCACUUAUAACUGUUUUCUUGGAUAUUUGUCGGUUAUUUUCUUUCCAUAGCAAAAUAUGUGGAAAGAGCAAGGAAAUGCUUAGCAACUGAGUUUAAUGCACUGUAGGUUUGUUUCCAUUUGUUCAUGAGAUUUCAAUUGAAGAGGAGAUCUGACAUGUACCCAAAAGAGGUAUGUGGCCAAAGGUUCGUGUCCAUUUUGAGACCAUCAUCGUAGAGAGAGGGAGAAGAGAGCCACCAUUGUUCUCCACUGCACCAUGCCAGUCGUCAUCUAACGCUUGAUACAAAUCCAUGUACCUCGGCUUCUAAAACCCUAAUCUGUGGCGAAGGAGGUAGGUGGCCGUUCAACCGAUGGUAGGUGGGCCACGCAACGACGGUGGUGAAACCAAGAACGACAUCAAAUAUGAGACUCGUAGCGGAAUGAAAGGAUGUAGGUUAGAGACUUAAUAGUCGAACCACACAGACACAAUUGUGUAUUUAUUGCUAAAGGCAGGAAGAUGCUCUUUGCACCAAGAACAUGUGCCAUGGAGAGGCUGUGUAUAACUAGAAGAAGAUCUGAUCUCUGUGUAGAAUGAACAUGGAACAAAGGUCGAGUGGAGAGUAUGAAAUCUUUUCAAAACAAAGUUAGCUGCUGCAAUUCUUGGUGGUGUUGAUAAUAUUUAAAUGGAGCAUCCGGUUAGUUGAACCCGAACCCAUGCUGAACUCGUACCCGUGAGAAGAUCCGUUGGAAUUGGUUAACAUGAGCAAAUAAUUGGAAAAGAACAAUAUUAUCUUAUAUUGUUUAUUUGUAUUUCUUAUUUUAUUUUAUUUAGUUUCCUACUUAGCUUAUGGUUCCUAAUCUAUAUAAAGGGAUCUAGGGUUUAUGUUUAUUUAGUUUUUUUGAUUUGAUUAUUAUAAAAAGAACGUUGUUCUUGAACCCUUUGGUUCGUUUAUCACCUUUCAUUAAUCAUUACGCUUUUGAGCCAUUUGAGUACGCUUCCGAUCCGUAUCAUUCAUCGGCUUGUUCCCUUGAAUAGUAGUCCCGUUAAGAACCUUUUGCAUGAACGUACAUUCUUCCUCAUCGGGUUCAAUCCCAUCUUCAUCGAAUCGAGGUUCCUCUUCCGACAAAUUCAUAUGAUAGAUUGGUUCGUAGAACCGGGGUGGGUAAUGACCAAACGAAUGCUCCUCUCCGUCGCCACCUUCGUCCCAGACGAUGGUGCUCAACUCGGUUUUCGUGUUGCACAUCCCCUGUUGCAACUCCAGAUCUCGGACUCGUUGACGGAGCCGUCUAAUCUCUUCAAGAUCUCGGACUCGUUGUUGGAGCCGUUUGAUCUCUUCAAGGUCUCGGACUCGAUUUCGGAGUCGUUUGAUCUUAAUAACAUCCUGUGGAUCACGGUUUCCGAUCUCGUUGCCUCGCCCGGCGGAUCUACGGUCACGGUUUAAUCGAUCUCCACAAACACGUGAAUCACAAAUGUUCUUGUCGAUGCCUCGGUCGGCGACUCUUCGACCAAGAAAACACUUGCCUUCACGUAGAGCCAUUUGAAAACCAAAGCUCUGAUACCAGCUGAUGCAUCAAAGGUGAUAAACGAACCAAAGGGUUCAAGAACAACGUUCUUUUUAUAAUAAUCAAAUCAAAAAAACUAAAUAAACAUAAAUCCUAGAUCCCUUUAUA
This is a long non-coding RNA of Helianthus annuus (common sunflower), 5076 nucleotides long. RefSeq lists it as uncharacterized. The record is from RefSeq and is a predicted model, not a curated record. The transcript has 14 exons. Lineage: Eukaryota; Viridiplantae; Streptophyta; Magnoliopsida; Asterales; Asteraceae.